This 76-nucleotide transfer RNA is filed under the name hydrothermal vent metagenome. Its description in RNAcentral is "tRNA-Val-TAC". It matches the Rfam family "tRNA". From Rfam's summary of the family: Transfer RNA (tRNA) molecules are approximately 80 nucleotides in length. Their secondary structure includes four short double-helical elements and three loops (D, anti-codon, and T loops). The record is from RNAcentral.
AGUUUCUUAGCUUAGUGGUUAGAGCGCCGUUUUUACAUGCCGGAGGUCCUGAGUUCGAAUCUCAGAGAAACUACCA